UACGGGGGGAGCAAGCGUUGUUCGGAUUUACUGGGCGUAAAGCGCGCGCAGGCGGCGGUGUAAGCAUGGCGUGAAAGCCCCUGGCUUAACCAGGGAGGGUCGUCGUGGACUGCACCGCUUGAGGGCGGUAGGGGCUGGUGGAAUGCCUGGUGUAGUGGUGAAAUGCGUAGAGAUCAGGCGGAACACCCGUGGCGAAGGCGGCCAGCUGGGCCGUCCCUGACGCUGAGGCGCGAAGGCGUGGGGAGCGAACGGG
This 253-nucleotide ribosomal RNA is filed under the name uncultured bacterium. RNAcentral's name for it is "partial 16S ribosomal RNA". It matches the Rfam family "Bacterial small subunit ribosomal RNA", at positions 524 to 776 of the family's 1533-position model. The record is from RNAcentral.